Molecule: long non-coding RNA, 573 nt
Organism: Prunus persica (peach)
Lineage: Eukaryota; Viridiplantae; Streptophyta; Magnoliopsida; Rosales; Rosaceae
Exons: 2
Source: RefSeq, a predicted model, not a curated record
GUGGCAAAAUCGUAUUUUUAGCCAAUAAAAAAAAUAUAAACUAAUAUAAAUUUGCUGAGAUAGAGAUAUAGAGAUAUAGAAAGAUAAGAGUCAUAUAGACGCACGGCAGCCAGAGGAAAGAUUCAACAUUUUAUGGAUAGCAGAGGAGCAUGCAAGGAGGUUUCUGAUGAGCUGGCCAGGGAGUUGCUUAUUGCAAUUUCUCACCCUGUACCAGACCAGGUUCUUGAUCUGAGUUUCGUGCCUCGGGACAGGGUUCUUGUGGCAAAUGGGGAUGGGGAUGAGAAGUUUGUCUCUGAACUUAUGACCAUUUCUAAUGUGCCAUCCCCUGAUAUCAAAAACCUGAAACAAGCAAGCAUUUGCAAUUAGCAAUGCUGCAUUCUUCAUGGAAAAUGGAAAUACCCUUACCCUUAUAAGAUAUUGUAAUUAUUUGUUAUUGUUUUUCAACUACUACUGUUAUAUGAAUAAAAGACACACAGAGUCUAAUCGCAUCAAGAAGCUUCUGGUGAUCAGUGUAAUAAACCUUCAUAUUAUAAAGAUGAGAAUGGCAAUUGGACCUAAUGGUUCUUGGUUUCU